AUUGAACGCUGGCGGCAGGCCUAACACAUGCAAGUCGAGCGGAUGAAGGGAGCUUGCUCCUGGAUUCAGCGGCGGACGGGUGAGUAAUGCCUAGGAAUCUGCCUGGUAGUGGGGGAUAACGUCCUGAAACGGGCGCUAAUACCGCAUACGUCCUGAGGGAGAAAGUGGGGGAUCUUCGGACCUCACGCUAUCAGAUGAGCCUAGGUCGGAUUAGCUAGUUGGUGGGGUAAAGGCCUACCAAGGCGACGAUCCGUAACUGGUCUGAGAGGAUGAUCAGUCACACUGGAACAGAGACACGGUCCAGACUCCUACGGGAGGCAGCAGUGGGGAAUAUUGGACAAUGGGCGAAAGCAUGAUCCAGCCAUGCCGCGUGUGUGAAGAAGGUCUUCGGAUUGUAAAGCACUUUAAGUUGGGAGGAAGGGCAGUAAGUUAAUACCUUGCUGUUUUGACGUUACCAACAGAAUAAGCACCGGCUAACUUCGUG
This 484-nucleotide ribosomal RNA is filed under the name uncultured bacterium. RNAcentral's name for it is "partial 16S ribosomal RNA". It matches the Rfam family "Bacterial small subunit ribosomal RNA", at positions 30 to 507 of the family's 1533-position model. The record is from RNAcentral.